RNAcentral lists this ribosomal RNA (227 nucleotides) under uncultured Gammaproteobacteria bacterium. RNAcentral's name for it is "partial 16S ribosomal RNA". The record is from RNAcentral. Lineage: Bacteria; Pseudomonadati; Pseudomonadota; Gammaproteobacteria.
UCAGCGUCAGUAUCGGUCCAGGGGAGUCGCCUUCGCCACUGGAUGUUCCUUCCUAUCUCUACGCAUUUCACCGCUACACAGGAAAUUCCACCCCCCUCUACCGUACUCUAGCCAGACAGUUUUAGAUGCAGUUCCCAGGUUGAGCCCAGGGAUUUCACAUCUAACUUAUCUAACCGCCUACGCGCGCUUUACGCCCAGUAAUUCCGAUUAACGCUUGCACCCUCCGU